This 662-nucleotide long non-coding RNA is filed under the name Sorghum bicolor (sorghum). RNAcentral's name for it is "long non-coding RNA (SBIC_LNC008518)". Lineage: Eukaryota; Viridiplantae; Streptophyta; Magnoliopsida; Poales; Poaceae. The record is from RNAcentral.
UCAUUUAUCUUUUAUAUAUCUCACUGAGGCUGUUUUAAUUUGCAAAAAUUCUCAAGCAUACUUACCUUGUAUUUAUUGCCUGAUCAAAACGGGAUCCGAGGAGGGGAAUGUCAUACUCUUAGAUCAAAGACUUUGGAAAUAAAAAUCUUUGUCAACUCUUGCUGGCAUAUUGCUUAUUAGAGGGACCAUGGGCUAACAUUAUCUUUUUCUUCUUUUUUUUAAGUGGAUACUGAGGUACCCCUAAUUCUACUGCUGGACGUUUGUACAUUUUUUCUGUGAGGUUAUCGAGCACUUGCUCCUUUUUAUUUCCUCGAAAUAUCUUUAUUUUUGCGUAGCCCAUGCCUCUAAUGCAAUAAUACAUCGGACGAGUGAAUCUUUCUGAAUAAAUGUCUUGAUCUUAGGAGCAUGAUAAAUCUCUCAAAAAGGGUCUAACUCAUUUUGAACAAACUCAAUACAGAGUAGAUAGCCUUAUAAUCAUAAUUAAUAUUUUUAGUUUUAUCAGGCAUAUAAAACACUGAGGAUGGUAGCUAGAAUUUUGAAGAUUUUGAAAUAAAUUCUCCAAGCAACAAUGAUAUCUAGAAUAAGAAACUCAUACUUUACCAUCUCACAUUCCAUACUGACUUAAGUAACACAGGGUUUUAAAAUGAUUUUAUAAUAGUUGC